UAAUUGGUUGGCCGUCGAGGUAUGG
This 25-nucleotide non-coding RNA is filed under the name Bombyx mori (domestic silkworm). Lineage: Eukaryota; Metazoa; Arthropoda; Insecta; Lepidoptera; Bombycidae. The record is from RNAcentral.